Long non-coding RNA from Dreissena polymorpha, 549 nucleotides. RefSeq lists it as uncharacterized. The record is from RefSeq and is a predicted model, not a curated record. Lineage: Eukaryota; Metazoa; Mollusca; Bivalvia; Myida; Dreissenidae. The transcript has 3 exons.
GGGUGAAUGUGGGAUCUACAACUGGAGGAAUGCUGUAGACUGGGUGAAUGUGGGAUCUACAACUGGAGGUAUGCUGUAGACUGGGUGAAUGUGGGAUCUACAACUGGAGGUAUGCUGUAGACUGGGUGAAUGUGGGAUCUACAACUGGAGGUAUGCUGUAGACUGGGUGAAUGUGGGAUCUACAACUGGAGGUAUGCUGUAGACUGGGUGAAUGUGGGAUCUACAACUGGAGGUACGCUGUAGACUGGGUGAAUGUGGGAUCUACCACUGGAGGUAUGCUGUAGACUGGGUGAAUGUGGGAUCUACAACUGGAGGUACGCUGUAGACUGGGUGAAUGUGGGAUCUACAACUGGAGGAAUGCUGUAGACUGGGUGAAUGUGGGAUCUACAACUGGAGGUACGCUGUAGACUGGGUGAAUGUGGGAUCUUCAUUUUAGUGGCCGACUGUGGGCAUUGUACUGUACUGUAAGUUUCAAGAGUAAUCUGGAAAUGGCAAUGGUUGGAAAAAUAGUAUUAAAUGAUGGGAAGUUGAGAAAGUGGGAAGAGCAAA